CAGCAGCCGCCGCGGGAAUACGAAGGGUGCAAGCGUUAAUCGGAAUUACUGGGCGUAAAGCGUGCGUAGGCGGUGAGUUAAGUCUGCUGUGAAAUCCCCGGGCUCAACCUGGGAAUGGCAGUGGAUACUGGCUCGCUAGAGUGUGUCAGAGGAUGGUGGAAUUCCCGGUGUAGCGGUGAAAUGCGUAGAGAUCGGAAGGAACAUCUGUGGCGAAGGCGACUAUCUGGGCCAACACUGACACUGAGGCACGAAAGCGUGGGGAGCAAACAGGAUUAGAUACCCGCGUAGUCCCUGUCUCUUAUAC
This 304-nucleotide ribosomal RNA is filed under the name uncultured bacterium. RNAcentral describes it as "partial 16S ribosomal RNA". It matches the Rfam family "Bacterial small subunit ribosomal RNA", at positions 506 to 807 of the family's 1533-position model. The record is from RNAcentral.